Molecule: transfer RNA, 77 nt
Filed under: Pseudomonadota bacterium
Lineage: Bacteria; Pseudomonadati; Pseudomonadota
Also listed under: 1 other name
Description: tRNA-His
Rfam family: tRNA
About the family: Transfer RNA (tRNA) molecules are approximately 80 nucleotides in length. Their secondary structure includes four short double-helical elements and three loops (D, anti-codon, and T loops).
Source: RNAcentral
GCGGGUGUGGCGCAGCUGGUUAGCGCGACAGGUUGUGGCCCUGUAGGUCGUGGGUUCGAAUCCCAUCACUCGCCCCA